Molecule: long non-coding RNA, 1127 nt
Filed under: Cottoperca gobio
Lineage: Eukaryota; Metazoa; Chordata; Actinopteri; Perciformes; Bovichtidae
Description: lncRNA (ENSCGOG00000015815.1)
Source: RNAcentral
GUCAAAUUGGGCUUAAAUUUCUUUAUUAUUUCAAGCAGAUGGUAUACUUUAGCCCCUGGGUAGCCGUCAAGCUGGAUAUGAGGGUUGUUGUGAGGGGGGAUUCUAGAGAUGUUGGAAUCCCCCAGUAUCAGGACUGGCUUGUCGGCUUUGAUGGUCCAGUCCUGUACUCUCCGGUGUGGUCUGGCGACGUGGCAGGUGGGCGUGAAUGGGGAUGGAAGGGAAGGAGUGAAUGGUGCCUGAAAAAAAGGAUGGUUAGGAAGGGGGGGAGGGGGAGGAGGGGGAGAAGGAAAGAGAAGAGGAGAGGGAGGGAGAAGGGGGGUAGGUGGGUAGGGAGUCCUGGGGAGGCUCGAGUCCAGAGCUGCAGGUGUGCUGGUCUCCAGAGGGGGCCCGCCAAGCAGCACGGCCCCGUCGGACUGGACACAGGAGGGUUCAGUGAGGUUUGCGGGUGCAGGCUGUUUGACCUUCCGGAUCCUUGUCAUCAUAUACCCUCCUGUGGUUGCGUGGUAUGCAGUCCGACGGAGUAUGCCGACCCGCAGAGCCCGAACAGGAACCAGCAACACCUGCAGGGGAAAGGCAGAGGGGGGGAGAAAAAAAAUUAAAGAAAGUGGUAGGGGGUGUGUGGACUCGAGCCUCCAACCACCUGUGUCGUGUACCACCCGGUGACUUGAAAGAAUUGCGUGUGGUGAGGGUGUCGUCUGCCCAUUUAAGACGAGUGGCGGGGGAGAUGAUGUGGCUAGGUUCAGUGCUCAGGGUUGCUGUGAAUUCAGAGGAGAGGUAAGAGGAGGGAUAGUGGGGGGUGUGGUAGCCGGAGUGGUCAGGGUCUGGGGAAAUGCCAGGAGGGGAGUGAUGGUUGGGGUCAGGAGAGGGGUAGUGGUGAAGGUCAGGGGUAAGAUGAGGGGCAGGGCUAGGAGGGGGGUGGUUGGAGUCAGGAGAGGGGCAGUGGUGAAGGUCAGGGGUAAGGUUGGGGUCAGGGUCAGGGGCUGGGGAAGGGAUAGGAGUGACCGGUGUGCAGGUAGGGGGUGUGCUUCGGGGACCUAGAAAAAGGGAAAGUCUGGUGGGGGAUUGUGCGCUGGGGAGGUGAGGGAACUCUUCCUCCGAGAUGGGAGGAAGGGGGGUGUACCACUGAC